This 234-nucleotide ribosomal RNA is filed under the name uncultured bacterium. Its description in RNAcentral is "partial 16S ribosomal RNA". It matches the Rfam family "Bacterial small subunit ribosomal RNA", at positions 102 to 334 of the family's 1533-position model. The record is from RNAcentral.
CACGGGUGAGUAACGCGUAUGCAACUUGCCUAUCAGAGGGGGAUAACCCGGCGAAAGUCGGACUAAUACCGCAUGAAGCAGGGAUCCCGCAUGGGAAUAUUUGCUAAAGAUUCAUCGCUGAUAGAUAGGCAUGCGUUCCAUUAGGCAGUUGGCGGGGUAACGGCCCACCAAACCGACGAUGGAUAGGGGUUCUGAGAGGAAGGUCCCCCACAUUGGAACUGAGACACGGUCCAA